Molecule: ribosomal RNA, 450 nt
Filed under: uncultured bacterium
Lineage: Bacteria
Description: bacterial SSU rRNA
Rfam family: Bacterial small subunit ribosomal RNA
Source: RNAcentral
AACGAACGCUGGCGGCAUGCCUAACACGUGCAAGUCGAACGAGACCUUCGGGUCUAGUGGCGCACGGGUGCGUAACGCGUGGGAACCUGCCUUUAGGUUCGGAAUAACUCAGAGAAAUUUGAGCUAAUACCGGAUAAUGUCUUCGGACCAAAGAUUUAUCGCCUUUAGAUGGGCCCGCGUAAGAUUAGCUAGUUGGUGGGGUAAAGGCCUACCAAGGCGACGAUCUUUAGCUGGUCUGAGAGGAUGAUCAGCCACACUGGGACUGAGACACGGCCCAGACUCCUACGGGAGGCAGCAGUGGGGAAUAUUGGACAAUGGGCGAAAGCCUGAUCCAGCAAUGCCGCGUGAGUGAUGAAGGCCUUAGGGUUGUAAAGCUCUUUUACCCGAGAUGAUAAUGACAGUAUCGGGAGAAUAAGCUCCGGCUAACUCCGUGCCAGCAGCCGCGGUAAU